GUAUUAAUAUCAAUUUAAAGCAAAGGUCAAAAUCUAGAACGUCCUAUUAACCUAUGACCUUGACCUCAAUUUUAAGGUCACAUACCAAGAAUCUUAAAUCAAAAGACCCUAGGUCUUUAAUAUGUUUGGUUAAAGAGUAAUAUCACUUUACGGGUAAACCUAAAUAUAAGAUGGGCAAAAACUCCCAUUUAUUGUCUGCGCACCCUUUCACCCAAAAUAUACAAUUAAGGACAUGUCGCGACUAACAAUUUAUGAAAAAUUAUUUGUCGAUAUGUCAUACGGUAUUUGAAAAUCAGUGAAAAUAAGCAAAAAUCAAA
RNAcentral lists this long non-coding RNA (317 nucleotides) under Mytilus galloprovincialis (Mediterranean mussel). Lineage: Eukaryota; Metazoa; Mollusca; Bivalvia; Mytilida; Mytilidae. The record is from RNAcentral.